UUUUGAGAGGUUUAAAUUCUUAAUUUGAGAGUUUGGGUGUAUUGAGGUUAUGAGUUGUGAGAUAAAAUUACUACAAUACUUGUAAACUCUACACAAUUAGUAAAAUAUUUCCUCUCAUCUUCUCCCGUGGACAUAGGCGCCGAACCACGUAAACAAAGGUGAAGCUCAGGGAAGGCUAAGCUUUUUGAAAAAAAAAUUAAAAUUUAUAAAUUUACUUUUAUUAAUAUUUAUAAAAAAAUAAAAACAAACCUAAUAAUUAUAGGAAUCUUUAUUUUCCCCAAAUCACAAUUCAUAAAACUCACCAGUAUCUAACUAAAUCUGAAUUUGAAAUUCACCAAAAUUCAAUUGCUCAAGUCUCUUACCGCUGCUGAAUACCCAGUCUCCUGCGCUCGAAUUGACGUCCAACCGUUGCCUCAUGAGUGACGCUGAGCCACUGCCGCAAGGCCCGCACCCGCAGGCCUCACUGCCGAGCCGACGCCGAAUGCCCAGUCUCUUGAUGCGGCCCCUCGUACAAAGCACUUUGCCUUUUAAAAUUUAGUUUACUGAAUAGAAUAUGAUUUUAUGAUAAUGAU
Molecule: long non-coding RNA, 572 nt
Filed under: Citrus maxima (pomelo)
Lineage: Eukaryota; Viridiplantae; Streptophyta; Magnoliopsida; Sapindales; Rutaceae
Description: long non-coding RNA (CMAX_LNC004090)
Source: RNAcentral